GCAUUUAAAAAGGCAGUCACCAGAUCUGAAAAGUCACAAAUGUUUGGAAAAAUCACAGAUGUUUAGAAAAAUCAAUGUUUGGAUUCACUUAGUAUGAAUUCAUCAAUAUCACUAAUAAUUCAGCAUUGUAUAAAGAUGAUGUUAACAUAAUGGAUCUGAAUAACAAUGUACAUGUUGUGUAAUAAGUUUAGACAAUUUAGAAAGCUUUCCUCUACCUUAAAUAUCAUAUUCUUAACUAUCCCAAAGAUUAAGAAUUUUUGAAAAGUGAAGGCCUCUCACUGAGUGAGAAAUUAGAUUGACUUUGAGAAUACUAAACAAGAUUAAGGAAGACGUGCAAAGGUCAGGAAAAUGAUGGGCUGUCACACUUGGCCACACUUCUGUGCUUGGUGCAGUGGUGACUUUGACAUGUGCCCUCACUGAGCUACUCUUGUAUCCAGCCCUGCAACUGUGUUCCUUUUUCUCAUUAAUUCUAGGGGAUAGAGUCCCCUCAGCAUUGAAUACAACUAUUUAUUAAGAUCUCAAACAGCAUCAUGGUCAUUCCAGUAAUUGAAACUAUUUACUCAAGAAUUUGUGGUUAUUUCGGUUCUUUUUUCCCCUCAUUUGAGUCUACUCAGUGUCACAAUCAGAACUCUUUAUCUCUUCAAUAGCUAACUAGUCACAACCAACCACAACUGUCGAAACUAAAUCACCUUUUUCGCCCAAAUAAGUGGGGACCUCUAUUAGCUCCUUUGUUUCUUUUUGAUUUUGCUUUUUCCUUUUGUUUUGUUUUGUUUUUCUUUUAAUAGCUUAGCUUCAUUCCUUAAGUAUGUACCCCCAUUCUAAAAGUCCUUUUUAUAAAUUCUUCUCGAAGAUUUUGGAGCCCUCAUGCAGAGUUCUUUGUGCCUUAUUCUCCAGAAACAGAACUUCAGCAUCUAGAGAUUUCAAGGAAAUGGGAGCUGCUGAAACCACAGGAUCUGCUCGCGGCUUCCAAACACUCUGCGCGGACAAUAUGACCACAUCCAUGUCCUCCUCCGACUCCUGUGAGGCCCUUUUCAUGGAGUCCAGGCCCUCCCCUGUUUCUCCCAGAGGAGGAAGUCCAAGGCAGGGUCUGCAUCUCCCUUGUCUUUGCAAAAACCCCACAAAAGCUCUCCUGGAUGGUGUCUAAAGUAAAACUUCUUGGUUAUUUAGUCUGGUUAUACCUGUUGCAAAUUCUCUAAUUCCUGUGGGGUUCACAGAGAGCUACAAACAUAAUAAAACUGCAAUGGAAAUUUCUGACUCUAUUUUUCGACUAUUACCAAAUCUUCUAAGGUUCUAAGACCCUUUGCUCUAAAGACAGAUAGAGAACCACUCUAAUACAAAACAGCAUUGGUUCUUCUCUCUCAAAGGGAAUUGGGACUGUUCGGAAAGUCCUGGAAAUUUGCUAUAUACUUUAAAAAUCUAGAAUGCCUUCCCAACUGGCACACUCAGGAUAUGAGGAAGCAAUGUCAUUGCAAAUCACUCCUGACCGACAUUUAAACUGAGUUACUUUGUUUAGGUUGAGUUUUCCCUUCGUGCCCACAGCAUCCUCAGAACCCUUGUCAUCAAGGCUUAGGUAGAAACCUCUGCUCUUCAAAUCGUGCCUUCCUUUCGGAUCUAGUUAAUUCUAGUCAGGAUUCUAGGAAGGCCUCCUUCUGAAGACAAUGCAAAAAUAAAAAGAGCGACAGACCUUCCUUUUGUUGACAGCUUUCCAUCAUUUUCAAAAUCAACUGUGAUUCAAACUUAAAAAAAACCCAAGUUAGUGCGUGAUGACUCCCUAGACUCUGGGGCAUCAGGUAGUGCCAAAUUGAGAUUCCCCUGACAAUUUCUGAGGACAAAGAUCUUCAAGGAGGGCAGCUCUAGGGAAAGUUGAGUCAGAUCUGAAGUUGUGUCUCACAGACGCAGCAUCCACUGACUCCUGACUUUCAGUUUGUAUUUUAGAACUGUUCCCAGGGGAUGGAGACAAGGAGCAUCCACUGACUCCUGACUUUCAGUUUGUAUUUUAGAACUGUUCCCAGGGGAUGGAGACAAGGCAGUGAUCAAUCAGGAAACAGUCAAACACGUGCAGAUGGUUGAGAACAGCUCUCCUUGAAUGCCAGUCAUGGGAGGUGAGGAAUGAUCAUUCUUCUACAUAGUUCUAUUAAAAAAAGUGAAAUAAAAUUUGUUCCAUUUUGUUAGAGUUGCAAAAAUAAAAUGACAAACACGUCCUCAAUUGGGU
This is a long non-coding RNA of Papio anubis (olive baboon), 2212 nucleotides long. NCBI's taxonomy places the organism in Eukaryota, Metazoa, Chordata, Mammalia, Primates, Cercopithecidae. The record is from Ensembl.